RNAcentral lists this ribosomal RNA (504 nucleotides) under uncultured Desulfobulbus sp. Its description in RNAcentral is "bacterial SSU rRNA". It matches the Rfam family "Bacterial small subunit ribosomal RNA", at positions 903 to 1382 of the family's 1533-position model. The record is from RNAcentral. Lineage: Bacteria; Pseudomonadati; Thermodesulfobacteriota; Desulfobulbia; Desulfobulbales; Desulfobulbaceae.
GCCAGCCCGCUCAGAACUUAAAGGAAUUGACGGGGCCCGCACAAGCGGUGGAGUAUGUGGUUUAAUUCGAUGCAACGCGAAGAACCUUACCUGGUCUUGACAUCCCGGAGACCCUUAGGAAACUAGGGGGUGCUUCCAUCUGGAAGAAUCUGGAGACAGGUGCUGCAUGGCUGUCGUCAGCUCGUGUCGUGAGAUGUUGGGUUAAGUCCCGCAACGAGCGCAACCCUUGCCUUUAGUUGCCAGCAGUUCGGCUGGGCACUCUAAAGGGACUGCCGGUGUUAAACCGGAGGAAGGUGGGGAUGACGUCAAGUCCUCAUGGCCUUUAUGACCAGGGCUACACACGUACUACAAUGGCCGAUACAAAGGGCAGCGACACUGCGAGGUGAAGCCAAUCCCGUAAAAUCGGUCUCAGUCCGGAUUGGAGUCUGCAACUCGACUCCAUGAAGUUGGAAUCGCUAGUAAUCGCGCAUCAGCCAUGGCGCGGUGAAUACGUUCCCGGGCCUU